Molecule: ribosomal RNA, 947 nt
Filed under: Guibemantis flavobrunneus
Lineage: Eukaryota; Metazoa; Chordata; Amphibia; Anura; Mantellidae
Description: partial 16S ribosomal RNA
Rfam family: Bacterial large subunit ribosomal RNA
Source: RNAcentral
AACUUUAGAGCUAUUCAAAUAAGGCACAGCUUAUUUGAAAAAGGACACAACCUAGUAUAUAGGGUAAUUAAUUAAGAAAAACUGUUAAGUGGGCCUAAAAGCAGCCACCUUUCAAAAAGCGUUAAAGCUUUACUUUUAUUCUUUAAAAAUAACUUUAUUAAUAUAUAACCCAUUAUCUGUAUUGAGUAACUCCAUAACAAUAUGGAAGAAAUAAUGCUAGAACGAGUAACAUGAAGUAGAACUUCUUCAAAAUGUAAGCCUAAGCCACCCUAGACACCCUACUGGCAAUUAACGUUUAUGAGUCCACUUUACCAACCAUGCAAGAAAACCUUAAAUAUUUCAACGUUNAACUUACACUAGAACAUUUAUGGAAAGAUUAAAAGAAAAAGAAGGAACUCGGCAAAUAUUAACCCCGCCUGUUUACCAAAAACAUCGCNUNUUGCCUAAAUAUAAGAGGUCCAGCCUGCCCAGUGACAAAAUUUACCGGCCGCGGUACCCUAACCGUGCNAAGGUAGCAUAAUCACUUGUUCUUUAAAUNAGGACUUGUAUCAACGGCAUCACGAGGGUUUAACUGUCUCCUUUUUCGUAUCAGUGAAACUAAUUUCCCCGUGAAGAAGCGGGGAUAAUACUAUAAGACGAGAAGACCCCAUGGAGCUUUAAACCCAACUACACUCCUCUUAACUUUACCCUUAAACUUUAGGACCCUGUAUGUUCUGGUUUUAGGUUGGGGUGAUCGCGGAGCAUAAACUAGCCUCCACAAUGAAUAGACCUCCUCUUUNNNNNNNNNNNNNNNNNNNNNNNNNNNNNNUUCUAACAUAAAAUGAUCCGAUAUUCGAUCAACGAACCAAGUUACCCUGGGGAUAACAGCGCAAUCCACUUCAAGAGCCCCUAUCGACAAGUGGGUUUACGACCUCGAUGUUGGAUCAGGGUAUCCUAGUGGUGCAGCA